GACGAACGCUGGCGGCGUGCUUAACACAUGCAAGUCGAACGAUGAAACCUAGCUUGCUAGGUCGAUUAGUGGCGAACGGGCGAGUAACACGUGACUAACCUGCCCCUUUCUCUGGGAUAACGCUCCGAAAGGAGUGCUAAUACCGGAUACUCACACCGAGGCACAUGCCUUGGUGUGGAAAGUUUUUCGGAAAGGGAUGGAGUCGCGGCCUAUCAGCUUGUUGGUGAGGUAACGGCUCACCAAGGCGACGACGGGUAGCCGGCCUGAGAGGGGGACCGGCCACACUGGGACUGAGACACGGCCCAGACUCCUACGGGAGGCAGCAGUGGGGAAUAUUGCACAAUGGGCGCAAGCCUGAUGCAGCGACGCCGCGUGAGGGAUGAAGGUCUUCGGAUUGUAAACCUCUUUCAGUAGGGACGAAGCGAAAGUGACGGUACCUAAAGAAGAAGCACCGGCUAACUACGUGCCAGCCGCCGCGGUAA
This 482-nucleotide ribosomal RNA is filed under the name uncultured bacterium. RNAcentral describes it as "partial 16S ribosomal RNA". It matches the Rfam family "Bacterial small subunit ribosomal RNA", at positions 28 to 523 of the family's 1533-position model. The record is from RNAcentral.